This 503-nucleotide ribosomal RNA is filed under the name uncultured bacterium. RNAcentral's name for it is "bacterial SSU rRNA". It matches the Rfam family "Bacterial small subunit ribosomal RNA", at positions 19 to 518 of the family's 1533-position model. The record is from RNAcentral.
CUGGCUCAGGACGAACGCUGGCGGCGUGCCUAAUACAUGCAAGUCGAACGGUCUUUCUAUGGAAGCUUGCUUCCACUGAAAAGAUAGUGGCGAACGGGUGAGUAACACGUGGGUAACCUGCCCAUAAGAGGGGGAUAACAUCCGGAAACGGGUGCUAAUACCGCAUAGUUUUCUUGAUCGCAUGAUCGGGAAAGGAAAGACGGCCUUUGUGCUGUCGCUUAUGGAUGGACCCGCGGCGUAUUAGUUAGUUGGUGAGGUAACGGCUCACCAAGACGAUGAUACGUAGCCGACCUGAGAGGGUGAUCGGCCACAUUGGGACUGAGACACGGCCCAAACUCCUACGGGAGGCAGCAGUAGGGAAUCUUCCGCAAUGGACGCCAAGUCUGACCCAGCAACGCCGCGUGAAGGAAGAAGGCUCUCGGGUUGUAAACUUCUUUUAACAGGGAAGAGAAGAAGACGGUACCUGUUGAAUAAGCCACGGCUAACUACGUGCCAGCCGCCGC